GACAGAGGGGGCAAGCGUUGCUCGGAAUCACUGGGCGUAAAGAGCGCGUAGGCGGGAUGGCAAGUCGGUCGUGAAAUCCCUCGGCUCAACCGAGGAGCGUCGGCCGAUACUGCUGUUCUUGAGGGAUGCAGAGGAGACUGGAAUUCCCGGUGUAGCGGUGAAAUGUGUAGAGAUCGGGAGGAACACCGGUGGCGAAGGCGGGUCUCUGGGCAUCUCCUGACGCUGAGGCGCGAAAGCGUGGGGAGCAAACGGGAUUAGAUACCCCGGUAGUCCACGCGGUAAACGAUGACGACUAGGUGUGGGGAGGUAUUGACCCCUUCCGUGCCGCAGCUAACGCAAUAAGUGCCCCGCCUGGGGAGUACGGCCGCAAGGCUAAAACUCAAAGGAAUUGACGG
This 395-nucleotide ribosomal RNA is filed under the name uncultured bacterium. RNAcentral describes it as "bacterial SSU rRNA". It matches the Rfam family "Bacterial small subunit ribosomal RNA", at positions 524 to 916 of the family's 1533-position model. The record is from RNAcentral.